RNAcentral lists this non-coding RNA (27 nucleotides) under Mus musculus (house mouse). Lineage: Eukaryota; Metazoa; Chordata; Mammalia; Rodentia; Muridae. The record is from RNAcentral.
UCUAUGUUACAUGAAGGAAAGGGCUGC